Molecule: long non-coding RNA, 5601 nt
Filed under: Sus scrofa (pig)
Lineage: Eukaryota; Metazoa; Chordata; Mammalia; Artiodactyla; Suidae
Description: lncRNA (ENSSSCG00015027331.1)
Source: RNAcentral
UUUUUUUUUUUUGAGCUGAAACACCCUUUGUUUAAGAAAAAUAUUCUGAUGGCUCAGAAUUCUCCCGCUUCCCAUUUUCCUUUUGAUCACCUAGGGUUAAGGUUUUCCUUCUGUACCACACCAGCCUCAGGGGACAGGUCUCCAAUCUACCCAGCCCACCUUUCUGAUGUGAUGUGCAAUUCAUACUUUUGCACAGUGCAUAACUUGGCUCUUGAUUGCUGUCCCUGCAUUCACGUUGAAACAGGGGUGUCCCUCUUUACUCUCCAGUUGCUAGUCGUGGGCACACACCGCCACCACCUCACAGUGUAAACAGAACAUGCACGUUAUCGAGAGAAAACGGGUAAGCAGAGAAGCAGCAGAACACACAGCAUCCCCUGCUCCCAACCCCCAUCACCCAGUGCUCCUAUCUAUGUGUACGUGGCCAAUGUCCCAGCAGAGGGGACACUCGAGUCAGUUACACCCCACACACCUGUAAGGCUAAGGGUCAGGGAAUCUGUGUGAUCCCUGUCAGCAGACACCUCCUUGUCAGGUGACAGCCCUGUCAGAAAGGCCAUCUGGGCUCCCAGGACUCUUCUCGCGCAGAACCAACUCACACCUGCUGAGCCGGCUCUCUGCUAAGCAACUGGGAGAGGAAACGAGAUUGGCUGCCAGGGACACUGGAUUUGUCUCUCAUCAGCAUAAAUCUAAUGGUUGAUCUUUUCUAUAUUUAAAUUUUUAUCUUGGAAUUCUCUGGCAUAAGGCAAAGAUCUGAUAUUUGGUCUCCUUAAAUAGUAGUUUUCAUAAUUUACCAAUUAGUUCUCUAGAGCUUCAGAACAAAAUAUCAUCACUGUCCACUAUCAGUUCUCUGAAUUCUUCCUUACCGAGUUUAUAUACUUCUAUUUAUUUUGCUAGGUCAUUUCUUGAGCCAGAGCCUUUAGGAUAAUGAUGACGCAGCACAAGCACAGUCAUGGCUGGCAUUCUUUUGCCAUGUGGUCCAACUUUAAUGGGCGCAUCCAGGGUUUCGCGCUGUGUGCUCCGCAUUCGCAUGUACGUGGAACUUCUGGAUUGUUAAGAAAAUGGCUUCGUUCCACCUCUUUCUCCUCCCUGCAGAAGUGGUCCAGUUAGCGGUCCUGCGUGCUCUCCACGCGGUGGGUGCGAGGUAUUCCAUCGAGAAUGGAUAAGCAACGCGGUCCCUACUGUACAGCCCGGGGAACUAUACCCAGUCUCUUGGGAUGGACCAUGAUGGAAGACAGUAUGGGAAAAGGAAUGUGUGUGUCACAUACAUAUCAUAUGUAUAUAUGAGUGUACAUAUAUGGUUGGGUCACCAUCCUGUACAGCAGAAACUGACACAAGACUGUAAAUCAAUUAUACGCUAAUUUAAAAAAUAAAUUAGGAGUUCCCGGCGUGGCUCAGUGGUUAACGAAUCUCACUAGAAACCAUGAGGUUGAGGGUUUGAUCCCUGGCCUUGCUCAGUGGGUUAAGGAUCCGGCGUUGCCGUGAGCUGUGGUGUAGGUCACAGGCGCAGCUUGGAUCUGGUGUUGCUGUGGCUCUGGUGUAGGCCAGUGGCUACAGCUCCGAUUCACCCCCUGGCCUGGGAACCUCCAUAUGCCGUGGGUGUGGCUCUAAAAAGACAAAAAGAAAAAAAAAUAAUAAAAAAAUUAAAAUAAAAAAUUAAUUUUUUAAAGGUAAUACAAUUCCAAAAUUAAAUGCCCACUCUCUAGGCAAACUGUCCCUUCGGCGGGUUGUUCCCAAGUCUCUCCUGGGGGAAAAAAGCAGCAAAGGCAAAAGCCCAUUGGUUUUCAUUCUAAGACUACCUUUCAAUACAGAUUUAUUUAUCUGUUUGAAAAUCAGUACUAUUUUCUCAUUCUAUCCGACUUUUAGGACCUUCUCUAAAUCAAAUCCAAAUUUAGGUGAGGCACAGAGAAAUAACAUACACUGUCCUCAAACUCCAAUAGUAUUUAUUGUUUAUUCAUACCCCUUAAAUUUCAAAAUGCACAAAAUACGGUAUAUUUUUCAUCAAUGAAAGUUCAUCAGACGAAAAAUUUAAGAAAUAUCUAAAUCAGAUAAACUCAAAAUUUAGGCAAAAAUUAAGGUAUAGUAGCACAUAUUUCCACUUCAAAUAAUGCAGUACAAUAAACCAGGAAGAUAAAAUUCGAUUUACCUUUUUAGAUAAUUAAGGCAGCGACAGUGAACUGUCACCUCUGCAUCUCAAUUUCAUCAUCUGUAUACCAAAAAUAACUGAACCUUACUCAUCCUUCCUAGUGAUUCCUUUCUUCAGCCCUGUGGGAAGGUCACUACUGUUUAUAAUGAUCUUGUGUGUAAAUCUUUUUUUCCUUGUUUUGUUGAUAUUUGUCUUUUUUUAAUUUUAUUGGAGUAUGGUUGGCUUACAGUGCUGUGCUUGUUCCAGAUGUACAGCAAAGUGAGUCCGUUGUACCUAAAGACACGCGUCUGCUCCUUUUCAGACGCUGUUCCCAUUUAGGGCAUCACACAGUAUUGAGAUUUCCCUGCGCUGCACAGUAGGUCCUCGUUACUUAGCUAUUUCACACCUAGCAGUGCGUAUCUGUUCAUCUUAACCUGCAAAAUGGCCCCACUAAGUGAAAUCUGACAAAGACAAAUACCUAACGUGUGGAGAGGCAAAUAUAAAGACUAACGUGUGGAAUCUGACUUUAAAAACGAUCUAAAAGACCCAUUCACAGAGCAGGAAGAUUCGGAGACUGAACUUACGGUUACCAAGGGAACUGCUGGCGGAAGGAUAAAUUAGGAGGGUGUGCUCUUAGUAAUAACUACCAUUUAUUGCGCACUCACUAAGCACAUCACACGCUCUGCCUCAUUCGAAAUGUUCUGUAAGUCAGUGACUGGGAACCACUGCCACCUUCAUUCCGCAGCUGAGGAAACUCAGGUACAGAACGGGCAUGUGACUUUCUCAAAAUACUCGAACUGGCAGAAUCAGAGCUCAAUUCUAAGUCUAAAACACUGACUCCAGCACCCAUCAUUUUGUUUAAUCAAUCACAGAACAAGUCGAAGUCCAUUCAUUGGAAACCUUCCUCAUAUGCUGGACACCCAGAUCGACUCCUUCGGGAGCUGUCCAUUCCUAGGACGAAAGAAAUUUGACAACUACAGGCUAGAAGAACUGUCACAAGAGCUACAUACAGAGUUGACGAAACAUUCUUAAUCUUGCCACUGUUUGCAGCUACAAAGACUUUGAGAUAAAGCUUAUUUUUGGUUUCUAAUCUCAUAACAGCACAGGGGUCCAGUUCGUACUAUCAUCCAUUUGCAUUUGAAAAAUAAAUUGACGCCGCCAAAGGAGAAAACCGAGUUUAACAGAAGCUGAUUCAAGUCCCUCCACCAUCGAAGGGAUUCCAAACAGUGCCGAGGAUGUAAUCUCCGAUCCCGACCUGCUUCGCAACUCCGGGACUCAGCAAAAGGGCAAGAGGGGGUUCAUUCACAUGGAGGAAGAGCAAAUUUUCUUUGGACUGGUUACAUCACAUAAUACGUUUGUUUCAGGAAAAAUAAACAGGCGGGGAAAGUUGUGCAAGGAGAGCACGGCUGUGCCCAAUACACUGCGGAAACUGUUUGAGCGCAGCCCGUGCUUUCAGAAAUCCCCCCAUACAGAGCCCGAGGUCAACCUGAAUUUCGGUGAUCCGCUUCCCGCACGUGCAGGUCAUACAUGUUAAACGGAUCUCAGAGGUAUUCUGAUACCCAGCCUUUUGACAGUACGGUCUCUGUUUAUCAUUCGUGGAUUACUGACCCUUCCCUCCGAGACCUGGUGAUCUUCAGCUUUUUGUUUUGUUUUGUGUCCCAAUGUCAAGUGUAUGACAUCCACGCUUCCUACCGAUAAUCAACUGCCGUUGUUCCUUCUUUGCUAAAGGCACAUACUAUGAUUUGGUCGCAUGCCUUAUAAAAACACGACUGUAACUGUUUCGGGAAUAAAUGAUCCCUUGUAACCGAAGGACAAGCUUCAGACCUCAAAGAUUUCCUGAGCGUGUGACACAAGGAGCCUGUAAGAGUGGCAGCACCUCACUUUACAUGAAAUUCACAGCAACACGGCCAUGAGCAACACCUAACGAGAGUCUGGAGUCUGUACUCCCUGCAAAUAGGGGUCCUUAAGUUCAAUGCCUCUGCAAAUUUGAAGUCACACUUUGUGCACUAGUGAAAAAAUAACAGAGCUGGAGAUGAGGCUCUCUGUGGCCUCCAUCCCACGGGCAAGGAUCCCACGGCUUAACCUCUAAAAGACUCUGUGUUCCUACUUCUCGGUACCAACCCUGUGUGCCUAUGUGUGACCGCAGAGAAUCAAAGACACGCGGGAGUUCCCGUGGUGGCUCAGCAAGUUGAGCUGACAUGGUAUCCGUGAGGCUGCGGGCUCGGUCUCCUUCCUCCCUCGGUGGGUUAAGGGUCCCGGGUUGCCACAAGCUGCGGCAUAGGUUGCAGAUGCGGCUCGGGUCUGGCGUGGCUGUGGCUGUGGUGCAGGCCUGCAGCUGCAGCUCGGAUUCAACCCCUAGCCUGGGAACCUCCCUAUGCUACAGGUGCGGGCGAAAAAGAAAAAAAAAAGAGAAUCAAGGACAUGAAUGUUAGGCAUUUACCGUAAAGAGUCAAAUACUGUCACUACUAGUAAGAAUUUAGAAAAGCACCUUGCAACAACUUACGGAACUAUCUUAAAGAAGCAAUGAUAUCAUGGGAAAUGAUUUGGGUAGAAAUUAUGUGGAAAAUGAAGGAAAAUACAGAGCUGUGGAUUCAAUAGUCAUAUGAGUGACAGACAUGUAAAUUAGGUAUUUAUCAUGGAGGUGAUUCAUAAUUCAUCUUAUACUCUGGAGACCUUUUAAAACAGUGCAUUGCAUAAAACAAGCACUUCGGAAAUGCUGCGACUGAAAUGCACGCACGCCCUGGGGCUGUUUCCUCUUAAAUUCAGUUGAAUAAAAGCUACUCCGGAGUGUUUUUACUUUCACAUUGUUGGAGGUGGCCAGAGGCCCAGUGUGACAUGCGGGCAUGCACCAUACCUCUCUACGGGUACUCCUCUUCACGGAGGACUUGACACUGGAAGUAAUUUACGCUGACAAGAAUGUGGCAAGAUUCCAGCAUUAGGUGCCCCAUUCACGACUGCAUAAGGUGAGAAUUCAAAGAAAAUGGCUUCUCUCACGAUCUCCUCCCUGGACAAGCUAAGGAAACACGGCCUCGGUGACAGGAAGUUAAAUAGAACUGAGCAGCUCUGCUCACACAAGGCUCGAGACAGGGAGCAGUGUCAGCUAGAGGAGGAAGCUUAGAUACCAAAGAUUUUGAGAUGUGACCUACAGCAUCCAGCAUGACCUAUUAGUCAGGUACCAAAGCUACAAAUACGGAAUACCUAGAUGCAUGAGCGAGAGCUACCAUGUGGAUUCAUUAUUUAGAAUUCCAAAAUAUCCCCACAGGUUGAAACAAAUAACCUGGAUAAUGUGGAAACCUCAUAAAAUGCUCAAGAAAAAAAAAUAAAUCUUUGCUGUUAUGUGUCAACUAAUUACUCCGUUAGUACAGAAUGAGGCAGUUCACUUAGUAACGAUUCACAUAAAAAAACAGGACAGUGGGAUGGACUGGGAGUCUGGGGUUAAUAGAUGCAAACUAUUGCAUUUGGAAUGAAUAAGCGAUGAGGUC